AUUUUACAGAGGUGCACGGUGGGCUCCGGUAAAGCUCCAGAUACAGAGCCACGCCGGCAGCACCGGGGGGGAGAUGCGGCUCUGAGACGCGGACCGGCCAGCCCUCCUCGGUGCAGCGGGUGCAGCUUGGACGCAAGGGGCAAGCCUGCCGCCAGCCGGUCAAUAGACAAGGCAUUGGGAAACGGAACCAAACGUCCAGAAGAUUCCCGUAGAGAACUUACGUCUGUUUCUGAACAUUAUCUUUUACACCCUGGACAAGGCUCCGCAGGCUGGAAGAAGCGACAGCCUCCAGGUGAGCAUAGAAUGGGACAGAGUCAAAGACAGAGCCUGUCUCCCCCCCACCCCAGUACCCAGGAAAGGUUCAGAUCUCAGAGCCAUGAGCAUGAGGGAGGGCAGGUCGAAAGAACGACUGCAAACAAACUCAGGGACGCCCCAAAUAGUCUACACAAACAUGCACAUGCACAAAAAUGUGUGCACACACACUCCCAUGCAUGGGACACGUCCAUACAAGGACACGUGCAUACAUGUACGUACACUCACAAGCACAGAUACAAACUGUGACACAGACCCGAACACACACACAGACACGUCUGCAUAUUUGGUGCACACAACAGCCGGCAGCCAGGCAUUUAGAGAAAUAAGAGAGAAAGGAUAGCUAAUUAGAAAACUAAUCUGAUUAAUAGAGGUUCCAGAAAAAGAACGCUGAGAAAAUGAAUAGAUGGAAAAUAAAUAGUUUUUAAAUGUUUUUAAAGAAAUAUUUCUAGAGCUACAUUCAACUGUUUUCUCGUUUAAAAGACCGGUAAAGGACUUCUGAGAAAGAUGUCAGAGUAGGAGGACCCUAAGCUCACCUUGUCCCGUGGAUACAACUAGAUAAUACCCCCAUCGGUGUAACUAAUCCAGAAUAUGACCCGAAGACUGGUAGAACAGACCCUCUACAGCUAAAUUUAGAGAAGAGGCCACAUGGAAGAGGGUGGAAAGGGAAGAGACAUGGUCCAGAGCUAAAUGGACCCAUGAGACCGUCCCCGAGAGCGAGUGAUGCCGGAGGCCUGGAGGGAGGAAAGGAACAGACCUUCAAACUAGGCACCCCAGGUGUGAGGAACCUGCAUGGGGAAGACAAAUCCUGAAAACCAGAGACAUAAUUUUUUGAGUUCUUACAACCAGCGGGGCUUAAUAUGUGGAAUGUUAAAAAUCAGUGGGCUUGGCUCUGGGGUUGCUGGGAGGACGAGGGGAAACUGAGUCCCCACCCUUAAAGAGACAACACAACAGGGGCGCCUGGAUGGCUCAGUCGGCUGAGCGUCCGACUUCAGCUCAGGUCAUGAUCUUGCGGUCUGUGGGUUCGAGCCCCACGUUGGGCUCUGUGCCCACAGCUCGGAGCCCGGAGCCUGCUUCGGAGUCUGUGUCUCCCUCUCUCUCUGCCCCUGCCCCGCUCAUGCUCUG
This is a long non-coding RNA of Neofelis nebulosa (Clouded leopard), 1437 nucleotides long. RefSeq lists it as uncharacterized. The transcript is spliced from 3 exons. The record is from RefSeq and is a predicted model, not a curated record. NCBI's taxonomy places the organism in Eukaryota, Metazoa, Chordata, Mammalia, Carnivora, Felidae.